This 440-nucleotide ribosomal RNA is filed under the name uncultured bacterium. RNAcentral's name for it is "partial 16S ribosomal RNA". It matches the Rfam family "Bacterial small subunit ribosomal RNA", at positions 338 to 795 of the family's 1533-position model. The record is from RNAcentral.
CCUACGGGAGGCAGCAGUGGGGAAUAUUGCACAAUGGGGGAAACCCUGAUGCAGCGACGCCGCGUGAGUGAAGAAGUAAUUCGUUAUGUAAAGCUCUAUCAGCAGGGAAGAAAAUGACGGUACCUGAGCAAGAAGCCCCGGCUAACUACGUGCCAGCAGCCGCGGUAAUACGUAGGGGGCAAGCGUUAUCCGGAUUUACUGGGUGUAAAGGGAGCGUAGACGGUAGUGCAAGUCUGGAGUGAAAGGCGGGGGCUCAACCCCGGGACUGCUCUGGAAACUGUACGGCUGGAGUGCAGGAGAGGUAAGUGGAAUUCCUAGUGUAGCGGUGAAAUGCGUAGAUAUUAGGAGGAACACCAGUGGCGAAGGCGGCUUACUGGACUGUAACUGACGUUGAGGCUCGAAAGCGUGGGGAGCAAACAGGAUUAGAUACCCGAGUAGUC